Molecule: ribosomal RNA, 292 nt
Filed under: uncultured bacterium
Lineage: Bacteria
Description: partial 16S ribosomal RNA
Rfam family: Bacterial small subunit ribosomal RNA
Source: RNAcentral
GUGUCAGCAGCCGCGGUAAUACGUAGGGGGCAAGCGUUGUCCGGAUUUAUUGGGCGUAAAGAGCGUGUAGGCGGCUUUACAGGUCCGUUGUGAAAACUCGAGGCUCAACCUCGAGACGCCGGUGGAAACCGUAAAGCUAGAGUCCGGAAGAGGAGAGUGGAAUUCCUGGUGUAGCGGUGAAAUGCGCAGAUAUCAGGAAGAACACCCGUGGCGAAGGCGGCUCUCUGGGACGGUACUGACGCUGAGACGCGAAAGCGUGGGGAGCGAACAGGAUUAGAAACCCUAGUAGUCC